CACAGUAAACGAUGGAUGCCCGCUGUAUGCGAUAUAGUGUAUGCGGCCAAGCGAAAGCGUUAAGCAUCCCACCUGGGGAGUACGCCGGCAACGGUGAAACUCAAAGGAAUUGACGGGGGCCCGCACAAGCGGAGGAACAUGUGGUUUAAUUCGAUGAUACGCGAGGAACCUUACCCGGGCUUGAACUGCCAGCGAACGAUACAGAGAUGUUGAGGCCCUUCGGGGCGCUGGUGGAGGUGCUGCAUGGUUGUCGUCAGCUCGUGCCGUGAGGUGUCGGCUUAAGUGCCAUAACGAGCGCAACCCCUGCGACUAGUUGCCAUCAGGUUAUGCUGGGCACUCUGGUUGGACUGCCACCGUAAGGUGUGAGGAAGGUGGGGAUGACGUCAAAUCAGCACGGCCCUUACGUCCGGGGCUACACACGUGUUACAAUGGGAGGUACAGAGAGAUGGUGUUCCGCAAGGCGCAUCUAAUCCUAAAAGCCUUCCUCAGUUCGGAUUGGGGUCUGCAACCCGACC
Molecule: ribosomal RNA, 515 nt
Filed under: uncultured bacterium
Lineage: Bacteria
Description: bacterial SSU rRNA
Rfam family: Bacterial small subunit ribosomal RNA
Source: RNAcentral